This 72-nucleotide transfer RNA is filed under the name Camelus bactrianus (Bactrian camel). It matches the Rfam family "tRNA". From Rfam's summary of the family: Transfer RNA (tRNA) molecules are approximately 80 nucleotides in length. Their secondary structure includes four short double-helical elements and three loops (D, anti-codon, and T loops). The record is from Rfam by way of RNAcentral. Lineage: Eukaryota; Metazoa; Chordata; Mammalia; Artiodactyla; Camelidae. RNAcentral also lists the same sequence under 3 other names.
GAGGGUAUAGCUCAGUGGUAGAGUGCAUGCCUAGCAUGCAUGAGGUCCUGGGUUCAAUCCCCUACAUCUCCA